AGUAGACAGGGCAGAGAGUAGCAUCUCUGCUGCAUGGUGGGUAGAGCCUUGUUGGUCCCUGACUGGCUUCCAGGGUUAGGAAGACACAUGUGACUCGUCUCCACCAGAGACGGCGAAGUGAUGCCUGGUGGGGGAUGGGUAGGAGGGGCUUCCUGGCAUCUGUCUGCUCAGCCUAAAGGGGGCAGAGGGUUGGGAGAUGUGACCGAAUAAACAGGGUUCUGACUGACGUGAGUCACUGUGUUUCCCCUGUCAAGACGCCCUGCAUGCCAAUGGAGGCCUGUGUCGCCGAGAGUCACAGGGCUCUGUGUCCUCUGCGGGGAGCCUGGACCUGUCGGAGGCCUGCAGGACUUUGGCACCCGAGAAGGACAAGGCCACCAAGCACUGCUGCAUUCAUCUCCCGGAUGGGACAUCCUGCGUGGUGGCUGUCAAGGCGGGCUUCUCCAUCAAAGACAUCCUGUCCGGACUCUGUGAGCGGCAUGG
This 480-nucleotide small RNA is filed under the name Pan troglodytes (chimpanzee). RNAcentral describes it as "retained intron". Lineage: Eukaryota; Metazoa; Chordata; Mammalia; Primates; Hominidae. The record is from RNAcentral.